CAACUGUGCUGUCCAUAGAUAGUAACUUUCUCAAUAGAUAAAUAACUUUUUGUUAUGUAAAUAGGAACAAACAAUAAUUGAAAAACGAUAUAUUUACGUGACAAACUCACAGACAAAAAAAAAAUCUCUACACGUACUUGGGUGUAACUUGAUCGAUAGAAGAGAUUCUUAGUUCUCACCAGUUAUAAGAAAACGAACUGAAUC
Molecule: non-coding RNA, 204 nt
Organism: Cinara cedri
Lineage: Eukaryota; Metazoa; Arthropoda; Insecta; Hemiptera; Aphididae
Source: the annotation of a GenBank genome assembly